Molecule: ribosomal RNA, 930 nt
Filed under: uncultured bacterium
Lineage: Bacteria
Description: bacterial SSU rRNA
Rfam family: Bacterial small subunit ribosomal RNA
Source: RNAcentral
AGAGUUUGAUCAUGGCUCAGAAUCAACGCUGGCGGCGUGCCUAACACAUGCAAGUCGAACGCGAAAGUCCCGCAAGGGAUUAGUAGAGUGGCAAACGGGUGAGUAACACGUGGGUGACCUGCCUUCGAGUGGGGGAUAACGUCCCGAAAGGGACGCUAAUACCGCAUGACAUCCUGCCUUUGAAGAGGUGGAGAUCAAAGCUGGGGAUCGCAAGACCUAGCGCUCAAAGAGGGGCCCGCGCCUGAUUAGCUAGUUGGCGAGGUAACGGCUCACCAAGGCAACGAUCAGUAUCCGGCCUGAGAGGGCGGACGGACACACUGGGACUGAGACACGGCCCAGACUCCUACGGGAGGCAGCAGUGGGGAAUUGUUCGCAAUGGGCGCAAGCCUGACGACGCAACGCCGCGUGGAGGAUGAAGACCUUCGGGUCGUAAACUCCUUUCGAUCGAGACGAACGGCCUCCGGGUGAACAGUCCGGAGGAGUGACGGUACCGAGAGAAGAAGCCCCGGCUAACUCCGUGCCAGCAGCCGCGGUAAUACGGGGGGGGCAAGCGUUGUUCGGAAUUACUGGGCGUAAAGGGCUCGUAGGCGGCCAACUAAGUCAGACGUGAAAUCCCUCGGCUUAACCGGGGAACUGCAUCUGAUACUGGAUGGCUUGAGUUCGGGAGAGGGAUGUGGAAUUCCAGGUGUAGCGGUGAAAUGCGUAGAUAUCUGGAGGAACACCGGUGGCGAAAGGCGGCAUCCUGCACCGACACUGACGCUGAGGAGCGAAAGCCAGGGGAGCAAACGGGAUUAGAUACCCCGGUAGUCCUGGCCCUAAACGAUGAAUGCUUGGUGUGCGGGUAUCGAUCCCUGCCGUGCCGAAGCUAACGCAUUAAGCAUUCCGCCUGGGGGAGUACGGUCGCAAGGCUGAAACUCAAGGAAUUGACGG